RNAcentral lists this ribosomal RNA (483 nucleotides) under uncultured bacterium. Its description in RNAcentral is "partial 16S ribosomal RNA". It matches the Rfam family "Bacterial small subunit ribosomal RNA", at positions 30 to 507 of the family's 1533-position model. The record is from RNAcentral.
AUUGAACGCUGGCGGAAUGCUUUACACAUGCAAGUCGAACGGCAGCACGGGGGCAGCCCUGGUGGCGAGUGGCGAACGGGUGAGUAAUACAUCGGAACGUGCCCGGUCGUGGGGGAUAACGUAGCGAAAGUUACGCUAAUACCGCAUACGAUCUGAGGAUGAAAGCGGGGGACCUUCGGGCCUCGCGCGAUCGGAGCGGCCGAUGUCAGAUUAGGUAGUUGGUGGGGUAAAGGCCUACCAAGCCGACGAUCUGUAGCUGGUCUGAGAGGACGACCAGCCACACUGGGACUGAGACACGGCCCAGACUCCUACGGGAGGCAGCAGUGGGGAAUUUUGGACAAUGGGCGCAAGCCUGAUCCAGCCAUUCCGCGUGCAGGACGAAGGCCUUCGGGUUGUAAACUGCUUUUGUACGGAACGAAAAGGCUCUGGCUAAUACCUGGGCUCAUGACGGUACCGUAAGAAUAAGCACCGGCUAACUACGUG